Molecule: ribosomal RNA, 646 nt
Filed under: Antrodia favescens
Lineage: Eukaryota; Fungi; Basidiomycota; Agaricomycetes; Polyporales; Fomitopsidaceae
Description: eukaryotic LSU rRNA
Rfam family: 5.8S ribosomal RNA (bases 250-400)
Source: RNAcentral
UAGAGGAAGUAAAAGUCGUAACAAGGUUUCCGUAGGUGAACCUGCGGAAGAUCAUUAUUGAAUUUUGAAUGGGGUUGUAGCUGGCCUUUCAACGGGCAGUGCACACCUCGCUUCAAUCCACUUACACCUGUGCACACUUUGUAGGUCGCUUUAGGAACGGGUCUCUAACGGGGCUUGUUUCGGGCCUUCCUAUGUAUAUUACAAACAUUUAAAGUCUAAAGAAUGUACUCGCGUCUAACGCAUUAAUACAACUUUCAGCAACGGAUCUCUUGGCUCUCGCAUCGAUGAAGAACGAGCGAAAUGCGAUAAGUAAUGUGAAUUGCAGAAUUCAGUGAAUCAUCGAUCUUUGAACGCACCUUGCGCUCCUUGGUAUUCCGAGGAGCAUGCCUGUUGAGUGUCAUGGAAUUAUCAACUCGUUUGUCUUUGUAUGAACGCAGUUGGUUUGGAGGCUAUUGCCGGAUUGUAAUGAUUCGGCUCCUCUUGAAUGCAUAGCUCGAACCUUUGCGGAUCAGCUUUUGGUGUGAUAAUUGUCUACGCCGUAACUGAGACGCAURAAUGGGAUCGGCUUACAAUCGUCCUCUACGGACAUUUAUUAUGACUUCUGACCUCAAAUCAGGUAGGAUUACCCGCUGAACUUAGCAUAUCA